Dermochelys coriacea (leatherback sea turtle) is the source of this 778-nucleotide non-coding RNA. NCBI's taxonomy places the organism in Eukaryota, Metazoa, Chordata, Testudines, Dermochelyidae. The record is from the annotation of a RefSeq genome assembly.
GUAUUCCAGCUGUCCUGAGAAAUAUUUCCCAUUGGUUAACAGAUUAGCACACAGGGGGUCGCUGUGAGACCUAGUCCAUUUGUCUGUGACACAAAGUGUAUUUCCUUUUCUGGCCUCUGCAGUCUCCUCUUGUAACUCUUCUCCUCAGAAUUGUCAAAAAGAAGUUCAAGGGCUCUUGCAGACGGAAAAGGGAUAAGCAUACCGCUAGCACAGCUGCUAAACUUUUGCAAAAGCAGAGAUAUGAUCAUUUUCAAAGGCAUCACAUCCAAAGUAAACUUCUGUCUUUGCUCUUCUGUGCACCAGGGAACGAAAAGGACACAGCUGUGGACGUGGAAAAGGGCAGAUUUUGCAGGACUAUUAAACAAAAAUUUUUAAAACGGCCAUGCCGCUCUCUUUCCCCUUCAUGGUUUUGUUAAUUGUUUGUUCAAAAAGGACCUGGGCAGACUCAGUAACGCAAACAAAAGGCACCGUUCCCAUCCAGGAAGGAAGACGUGUACUUCUCCACUGCACCUAUGAUUACUCUGGGUCUACUCCUAUGCUCUUGUGGUACGAGCAGUAUCCCCAUGAGGCCCCUCGCCUGUUGCUGGCACAAUACGAAGCCUCAGACGAGGAGGAGAAGAGACGCAGACGAGGGUUCUCUGCUAAACUGGAGAAAGACUCCAAAUCCUUCCACCUGGAGAAAAACUCCAGCGAAGUGAGCGACUCUGCUGUCUAUUACUGCGCCAUGAGAGACACAGAGAGCAAAGCCACCGGGGGAGCUGUACAAAAACCCCACUGA